Molecule: ribosomal RNA, 253 nt
Filed under: uncultured bacterium
Lineage: Bacteria
Description: partial 16S ribosomal RNA
Rfam family: Bacterial small subunit ribosomal RNA
Source: RNAcentral
UACAGAGGUCCCAAGCGUUGUUCGGAUUCACUGGGCGUAAAGGGUGCGUAGGCGGUUGGGUAAGGCUGUCGUGAAAUCUCCGAGCCUAACUCGGAAACUGCGUCGGAUACUAUUCAACUCGAGGAAUGGAGGGGAGACUGGAAUUCUCGGUGUAGCAGUGAAAUGCGUAGAUAUCGAGAGGAACACCAGUGGCGAAGGCGAGUCUCUGGACAUUUCCUGACGCUGAGGCACGAAAGCCAGGGGAGCAAACGGG